RNAcentral lists this ribosomal RNA (253 nucleotides) under uncultured bacterium. RNAcentral's name for it is "partial 16S ribosomal RNA". It matches the Rfam family "Bacterial small subunit ribosomal RNA", at positions 524 to 776 of the family's 1533-position model. The record is from RNAcentral.
UACGAAGGGAGCUAGCGUUGCUCGGAAUCACUGGGCGUAAAGCGCACGUAGGCGGCUUCUUAAGUCAGGGGUGAAAUCCUGGAGCUCAACUCCAGAACUGCCUUUGAUACUGAGGAGCUUGAGUCCGGGAGAGGUGAGUGGAACUGCGAGUGUAGAGGUGAAAUUCGUAGAUAUUCGCAAGAACACCAGUGGCGAAGGCGGCUCACUGGCCCGGUACUGACGCUGAGGUGCGAAAGCGUGGGGAGCAAACAGG